Hypanus sabinus (Atlantic stingray) is the source of this 846-nucleotide long non-coding RNA. RefSeq lists it as uncharacterized. The transcript has 3 exons. NCBI's taxonomy places the organism in Eukaryota, Metazoa, Chordata, Chondrichthyes, Myliobatiformes, Dasyatidae. The record is from RefSeq and is a predicted model, not a curated record.
UUGACAAUGUGGAGCUUGUGAUGAUUUGUCCGCAGAUUUCAGAAGUGGCUUAUUUACACUGUUCUUUUAUAGAAAUUAUUGAUUCACUAUGUUGAAUUCCAAAGGAGCAAACGGCGUGAAGUGCAAAAGAACUGCUGGUUCAUUUGAAGUGGAAUGGCUUAAUGAAACAGUAGAAACUGCUAUACCAAAAGCUCAUUCAGCCAGGAAUGUGCAGCAACAAGAAAUACUUCUGUACCAUACAGAAACUGGUGUUACCUGCGUGUAUCGUCACAAUACAAAUGUUGCUGGAGAAUUUACAAGUGGAAAGAAGUGGAAUGAUUUUUGGAAACUUGACUUUUUAAAAUGUCAUUUAGCAAGUAAAUCACAUAUGGACAAUGUGCAAAAGCUCUGGCAAGAAAUUCCUCCAUUACCUGCUACAGGAGAUGGAGAGAAGACGCUGGACAAAACUGGUCAUAGGAUUCAACCUGGUGGGGGACUGUGAUUUGAUGGAGCAAGAUGCCAGGGUCUUCUGAGGAUUGGCGAAUAAUCACUACAAACAAUAGCCCGUUACUUCUGUUUUGGAAAUGAACUUUUGUACUGUCUGUACAAUGGCAUUCUUUGUGAUGUGAGCUUAAAUAUUGAAGAUGCAAGAUGGUUGUUGUGAUGAACUACAUAUACCUGUCUGGACACGCCCCCCUGCUGACUGCACCUGCGGCUCCUCCCACUGACUGGUGGCUCCUCCCACAGACCCCGGUAUAAAGGCGAUUGAGGCCUGAGGCCUGAGCCCUGCCCUCAGUCUCCAGGAUGUAGUAUGGUGGUCAAUUACUGCUUGUUCUUUCUUCCAGUCAAUAAAAGCCGAUAUCUCGC